GGAGUAACCAUUUGGAGCUAGCCGUCGAAGGUGGGACAAAUGAUUGGGGUGAAGUCGUAACAAGGUAGCCGUAUCGGAAGGUGCGGCUGGAUCACCUCCUUUCUAAGGA
This is a ribosomal RNA of 109 nucleotides. It matches the Rfam family "Bacterial small subunit ribosomal RNA", at positions 1432 to 1533 of the family's 1533-position model.